CAGCCAUAUCACGUUGAAGCACCGGUUCCCGUACAAUCACCGAAGUUAAGCAAUUCAUUCUAGUCAGUACCUAGAUGGGUAACCGUUUGGGAAUACAUGGCACUGCAAG
Molecule: non-coding RNA, 109 nt
Organism: Acanthosepion pharaonis
Lineage: Eukaryota; Metazoa; Mollusca; Cephalopoda; Sepiida; Sepiidae
Source: the annotation of a GenBank genome assembly